This is a non-coding RNA of Triticum aestivum (bread wheat), 118 nucleotides long. The record is from Rfam. NCBI's taxonomy places the organism in Eukaryota, Viridiplantae, Streptophyta, Magnoliopsida, Poales, Poaceae.
AAAUUACUCCCUCCGUCCAAAAAUUCUUGUCUUAGAUUUGUCUAGAUACGGAUGUAUUUAGAUACAUCCGUAUCUAGAAAAAUCUAAGACAAGAAAUUUGGGACAGAGGGAGUAGUUG